UAUUAAAGGAAUACCGAAUGCUUUUCCGUGCAGGAUUGCGUGAUUCAUGCACGAGGGAUGUCGUGAGCGGAAAGCGUAAAAAUACUCGAGCAACAAUGCAACAUCCCAAGUGCAUGGAUCACGCUAUCCUGCUUGGAAAACCAUUUGGUAAUUGUUUUAUA
Paramuricea clavata is the source of this 161-nucleotide non-coding RNA. NCBI's taxonomy places the organism in Eukaryota, Metazoa, Cnidaria, Anthozoa, Malacalcyonacea, Plexauridae. The record is from the annotation of a GenBank genome assembly.